GACGAACGCUGGCGGCGUGCUUAACACAUGCAAGUCGAACGGACAGACCCUGCUUUUGUGGGGUGCUCGAGUGGCGAACGGGUGAGUAAAACGUGAGUAACCUGCCCUUGUCUUUGGGAUAACUUCAGGAAACAGGGGCUAAUACCGGAUAGGAGCUCCUGCUGCAUGGUGGGGGAUGGAAAGUUUCGGCGGUUGGGGCUGGACUCGCGGCUUAUCAGCUUGUUGGUGGGGUAGUGGCUUACCAAGGCUUUGACGGGUAGCCGGCCUGAGAGGGUGACCGGCCACAUUGGGACUGAGAUACGGACCAGACUCCUACGGGAGGCAGCAGUGGGGAAUAUUGCACAAUGGGCGGAAGCCUGAUGCAGCAGCGCCGCGUGCGGGAUGACGGCCUUCGGGUGGUAAACCGCUGUGGCCUGUGAUGAAGCGUGAGUGACGGUAAUGGGUAAAGAAGCAACGGCUAACUACGUG
This 468-nucleotide ribosomal RNA is filed under the name uncultured bacterium. Its description in RNAcentral is "partial 16S ribosomal RNA". It matches the Rfam family "Bacterial small subunit ribosomal RNA", at positions 28 to 507 of the family's 1533-position model. The record is from RNAcentral.